This 457-nucleotide ribosomal RNA is filed under the name uncultured bacterium. Its description in RNAcentral is "SSU rRNA". It matches the Rfam family "Bacterial small subunit ribosomal RNA", at positions 26 to 518 of the family's 1533-position model. The record is from RNAcentral.
AGAAUCAACGCUGGCGGCGUGCCUAACACAUGCAAGUCGCACGAGAAAGGGGAGCAAUCCCUGAGUACAGUGGCGCACGGGUGAGUAACACGUGAAUAAUCUACCUCCGAGUGGGGAAUAACUGAGAGAAAUCUUAGCUAAUACCGCAUAAUACCCACGGGUCAAAGCAGUAAUGCGCUUGGAGAGGAGUUCGCGGCAGAUUAGUUAGUUGGCGGGGUAAUGGCCCACCAAGACGAUGAUCUGUAUCCGGCCUGAGAGGGCGCACGGACACACUGGAACUGAAACACGGUCCAGACUCCUACGGAGGCAGCAGUGGGGAAUUUUGCGCAAUGGGGGAAACCCUGACGCAGCAACGCCGCGUGGAGGAUGAAGCCCCUUGGGGUGUAAACUCCUUUCGAUCGGGAAGAUAAUGACGGUACCGAUAUAAGAAGCCCGGCUAACUCGUGCCAGCAGCCGC